RNAcentral lists this ribosomal RNA (300 nucleotides) under uncultured Prevotella sp. Its description in RNAcentral is "bacterial SSU rRNA". The stretch from base 52 to 300 matches the Rfam family "Bacterial small subunit ribosomal RNA", at positions 547 to 795 of the family's 1533-position model. Lineage: Bacteria; Pseudomonadati; Bacteroidota; Bacteroidia; Bacteroidales; Prevotellaceae. The record is from RNAcentral.
GGCGACGUGGGCGCUUGGUCCGGGGGAAUAGGUAGGGGUCGAGGUUGGUCCGGAAUUAGUGGGCGGAAAGUGGUCGUAGGCGGGUUUGUGCGUCGGGAGUGAAAACCUCAUGCUUAACAUGUGGCUUGCUUUCGAUACGGGCAGACUGGAGGUAUGCAGGGGAGAACGGAAUUCCUGGUGUAGCGGUGAAAUGCGCAGAUAUCAGGAGGAACACCGGUGGCGAAGGCGGUUCUCUGGGCAUUACCUGACGCUGAGGAGCGAAAGUGUGGGGAGCGAACAGGAUUAGAUACCCCAGUAGUC